ACAGAUUAUAGAAGCAGACGAAUUCAGCCAUUCAAAAAUCACAAAUCACAGAUUUUGAGUUUCAUAAAUUCAUGCAUUCAUCAUUCACAAAGGCCGAAAUCAUAAUUAGUCAACCGGUGUCGCUGGACAGGAAGAAAAAUUACUAAAUCAAAAUUGUUAAUGUACUAACCUUAUCACUCAGAUUAAGGUUUGAAUUGCAAUUGGUGACUUCAAUGUGGACGAGUGGAAGCAAGUAGAAAUGACGAUAGGAAGGAGCAGGCUGAAUCCUUUGCUGUUUUCCCUUUCUUAUCGUUUGCAGUUUUGCCGAUUGCGAUUUUUCCUUUCCAAUCGUUGAAUCGAUGGCAGGAGGGAGUCAGCGACGUGUUUUUCAAUUGUGGGCUACUGGGUCUUUAUGCAGUGUUAGGUAGUGGGAGGUUCCUCUCGUGAACAUUUUCUUGCCAUUCGUAGAAUCGCCGGCAGGAGGGAGUCUGAGACUGGGUUUUGAUCGUCGGGUUGGUGGGUUCUACUUCAGCGUUAGCAAUGAGAGGGGAGAGGUUCUCUCGUGAUUGUCUAUGGCAGGGGAUGGUUGCUUCAAUAAUUUAAUUGCUGGUCCAUCCCUGGAACCAUGGUUUGGUUUUGGGUUUGUCAAAUUUUUCCCCAAAAUUUUUCAAUAAUGCUGGUGGUACAUCAGCCACUACCUAAUGGUGUACCUAAUGGUGAGGUG
This 703-nucleotide long non-coding RNA is filed under the name Olea europaea subsp. europaea. The record is from RNAcentral. Lineage: Eukaryota; Viridiplantae; Streptophyta; Magnoliopsida; Lamiales; Oleaceae.